CCAACGCAGUGCUCAAGAGGUAGCACGAAUCGAGAGGCCGGUAACUACUAGUUAAGUCAUAUAAAAAUUGAUAAAGUAGGAUGGUGAGCAAUUUUGUCAGUUUUAGUAUAGGAGAUAUGCCACAAAUGCCCCAACAAAAAUGUCCUUUAUUAUAAAGAAAAAAGCUAAUGGUAAUCCGAAUGCAAAUUGCAGGUGCUCGGCCCUGCGGGAGGUGUGUGAUGUUCAUUGCAACGGGCCUGUUCGGCAAUCCUCUACUUUAGAAAAACCAGUCGCUCCGCUCCGAUCCUCGCACGAAGCGCUCUCCUGAUCAGGGAGGGAAUAGUAUAGAAUCCGAGCUUUCGGUGCAAAAAUAGAAAAAAGUAACAUGGGCCGUCGGAUCAGAAAUCGAUGGCACAUAUUGUGGGUGUCGGAUUUCUGAUCAGACUGUACUCACUGUCACAAAAUGUUGUGCAAAAAGGUCCCCCGAUUCUGAUUAAUUCUGUGCAAACAUCUAAACCCUCUCGCACGUCUCCCUUUUCUUUGCUGACUGCGGCGGCAAUCCAGAUCCGGCGGGAGGCCGCCGACGUGCGUGGCCUCUCCCCCAACUACUCCGCCACCUAGGCCAUCUGGAUCCACAUCAUCCGGCGAUCUCGCACAUCCUGGGCACCCGACGUCGCGCUCCACGUCAUCGUCCAGGGCCUAGCCACCUCCGACAUGGUCUCCUCCACAGGAGCACCACCUGACCUUCACCGUGCUCUACGGCGGGUUGGUGACUGGGCGGAGACCCGCAGCACGGACGUGUUCGAGAUGACUCUGCUCGACGGCCGCACGUGCCAGGUCUUCUUCCUCAACCCCGACGAUGGAUGAUGCUCUGACAACCAGAAGCAUCAGGAGUACAUAUGGAGAGAAGAACCGCUUAGCAGAGGCUUCCCUUGCAUACAGCUGCAGGAGUGAAACUCAUUUGUUUGCACGAUAGUUUAAUUCCUUUGUUGUCGGUCAUGUACUAUAAAUUGUCUUAUUAUGUUAAUCAUUCGCUUUGCAUGUAUGUGGAUUAGAGUGGACCAGAAAUAGAAUACCUUGGUUAAAUUCAUUUUCACCGUCCUAUUCAGAUGUGCUUAUUACCAGAGGAUAAGCUGACUUUAAUUUAGUGCUGCACAAUUUGUAUAAAUGAAAUUAGUAGUUUUCUUGUUUAA
Long non-coding RNA from Aegilops tauschii subsp. strangulata, 1172 nucleotides. RefSeq lists it as uncharacterized. The record is from RefSeq and is a predicted model, not a curated record. NCBI's taxonomy places the organism in Eukaryota, Viridiplantae, Streptophyta, Magnoliopsida, Poales, Poaceae.